UACGUAGGGUCCGAGCGUUGUCCGGAAUUACUGGGCGUAAAGAGCUCGUAGGUGGUUUGUCGCGUUGUUCGUGAAAACUCACAGCUCAACUGUGGGCGUGCGGGCGAUACGGGCAGACUAGAGUACUGCAGGGGAGACUGGAAUUCCUGGUGUAGCGGUGGAAUGCGCAGAUAUCAGGAGGAACACCGGUGGCGAAGGCGGGUCUCUGGGCAGUAACUGACGCUGGAGGAGCGAAAGCGUUGGGGAGCGAACAGGAUUAG
RNAcentral lists this ribosomal RNA (260 nucleotides) under uncultured bacterium. Its description in RNAcentral is "partial 16S ribosomal RNA". It matches the Rfam family "Bacterial small subunit ribosomal RNA", at positions 524 to 781 of the family's 1533-position model. The record is from RNAcentral.